This 74-nucleotide transfer RNA is filed under the name Pelobates cultripes (western spadefoot toad). Its description in RNAcentral is "tRNA.Thr". It matches the Rfam family "tRNA". Rfam says of the family: Transfer RNA (tRNA) molecules are approximately 80 nucleotides in length. The record is from RNAcentral. Lineage: Eukaryota; Metazoa; Chordata; Amphibia; Anura; Pelobatidae.
GGCGCUGUGGCUUAGUUGGUUACAGCGCCUGUCUAGUAAACAGGAGAUCUUGAGUUCGAAUCUGAACAGUGUCU